This 484-nucleotide ribosomal RNA is filed under the name uncultured bacterium. RNAcentral's name for it is "partial 16S ribosomal RNA". It matches the Rfam family "Bacterial small subunit ribosomal RNA", at positions 30 to 507 of the family's 1533-position model. The record is from RNAcentral.
AUUGAACGCUGGCGGGAUGCUUUACACAUGCAAGUCGAACGGCAGCGCGGACCUCGGUCUGGCGGCGAGUGGCGAACGGGUGAGUAAUGUAUCGGAACGUGCCCAGUAGCGGGGGAUAACUACGCGAAAGCGUAGCUAAUACCGCAUACGCCCUACGGGGGAAAGCAGGGGAUCGUCAGACCCUGCACUAUUGGAUGGGCCGAUAUCGGAUUAGCUAGUUGGUGAGGUAACGGCUCACCAAGGCGACGAUCCGUAGCUGGUCUGAGAGGACGACCAGCCACACUGGGACUGAGACACGGCCCAGACUCCUACGGGAGGCAGCAGUGGGGAAUUUUGGACAAUGGGGGCAACCCUGAUCCAGCCAUCCCGCGUGUGCGAUGAAGGCCUUCGGGUUGUAAAGCACUUUUGGCAGGAAAGAAGCGUCGCAGGCUAAUACCUCGUGGAACUGACGGUACCUGCAGAAUAAGCACCGGCUAACUACGUG